GCGGCGUGCUUAACACAUGCAAGUCGAACGAAGCACUUUACCGGAUUUCUUCGGGAUGAAAGUUUUGUGACUGAGUGGCGGACGGGUGAGUAACGCGUGGGUAACCUGCCUCAUACGGGGGGAUAACAGUUAGAAAUGACUGCUAAUACCGCAUAAGACCACAGGAUUGCAUGAUCCGGUGGUAAAAACUCCGGUGGUAUGAGAUGGACCCGCGUCUGAUUAGGUAGUUGGUGGGGUAACGGCUCACCAAGCCGACGAUCAGUAGCCGACCUGAGAGGGUGACCGGCCACAUUGGGACUGAGACACGGCCCAAACUCCUACGGGAGGCAGCAGUGGGGAAUAUUGCACAAUGGGGGAAACCCUGAUGCAGCGACGCCGCGUGAGCGAUGAAGUAUUUCGGUAUGUAAAGCUCUAUCAGCAGGGAAGAAAAUGACGGUACCUGACUAAGAAGCACCGGCUAAAUACGUGCCAGCAGCCGCGGUAAUACGUAUGGUGCAAGCGUUAUCCGGAUUUACUGGGUGUAAAGGGAGCGUAGACGGAGAGGCAAGUCUGAUGUGAAAACCCGGGGCUCAACCCCGGGACUGCAUUGGAAACUGUUUUUCUAGAGUGUCGGAGAGGUAAGUGGAAUUCCUAGUGUAGCGGUGAAAUGCGUAGAUAUUAGGAGGAACACCAGUGGCGAAGGCGGCUUACUGGACGAUGACUGACGUUGAGGCUCGAAAGCGUGGGGAGCAAACAAGAUUACAUUCCCUGGUAGUCCACGCCGUAAACGAAGACUGCUAGGUGUCGGGAGGCAAAGCCUUUCGGUGCCGCAGCAAACGCAAUAAGCAGUCCACCUGGGGAGUACGUUCGCAAGAAUGAAACUCAAAGGAAUUGACGGGGACCCGCACAAGCGGUGGAGCAUGUGGUUUAAUUCGAAGCAACGCGAAGAACCUUACCUGCCCUUGACAUCCGGCUGACUGGCGAGUAAUGUCGCCUUUCCUUCGGGACAGCCGAGACAGGUGGUGCAUGGUUGUCGUCAGCUCGUGUCGUGAGAUGUUGGGUUAAGUCCCGCAACGAGCACAACCCUUAUCUUUAGUAGCCAGCAUUUCGGAUGGGCACUCUAGAGAGACUGCCAGGGAUAACCUGGAGGAAGGUGGGGAUGACGUCAAAUCAUCAUGCCCCUUAUGGGCAGGGCUACACACGUGCUACAAUGGCGUAAACAAAGGGAGGCAAGCCUGCGAGGGUGAGCAAAUCCCAAAAAUAACGUCUCAGUUCGGAUUGUAGUCUGCAACUCGACUACAUGAAGCUGGAAUCGCUAGUAAUCGCGAAUCAGAAUGUCGCGGUGAAUACGUUCCCGGGUCUUGCACA
Molecule: ribosomal RNA, 1347 nt
Filed under: uncultured bacterium
Lineage: Bacteria
Description: bacterial SSU rRNA
Rfam family: Bacterial small subunit ribosomal RNA
Source: RNAcentral